GACGAACGCUGGCGGCGUGCCUAAUACAUGCAAGUCGUGCGGACCUUGUUGAAAGCUUGCUUUUAAAAGGUUAGCGGCGGACGGGUGAGUAACACGUGGGCAACCUGCCUGUAAGACUGGGAUAACGCCGGGAAACCGGGGCUAAUACCAGAUCGUUUUUUCCUCCGCAUGGAGGAAAAAGGAAAGGCGGUUUCGGCUGCCACUUACAGAUGGGCCCGCGGCGCAUUAGCUAGUUGGCGGGGUAAUGGCCCACCAAGGCAACGAUGCGUAGCCGACCUGAGAGGGUGAUCGGCCACAUUGGGACUGAGACACGGCCCAAACUCCUACGGGAGGCAGCAGUAGGGAAUCUUCCGCAAUGGACGAAAGUCUGACGGAGCAACGCCGCGUGAGUGAAGAAGGCCUUCGGGUCGUAAAACUCUGUUGCCGGGGAAGAACAAGUGCCGUUCGAACAGGGCGGCGCCUUGACGGUACCCGGCCAGAAAGCCACGGCUAACUACGUG
RNAcentral lists this ribosomal RNA (500 nucleotides) under uncultured bacterium. RNAcentral describes it as "partial 16S ribosomal RNA". It matches the Rfam family "Bacterial small subunit ribosomal RNA", at positions 28 to 507 of the family's 1533-position model. The record is from RNAcentral.